AGUGAACGCUGGCGGCAGGCCUAACACAUGCAAGUCGAACGGCAGCACAGUAAGUGCUUGCUCUUCCGGGUGGCGAGUGGCGUACGGGUCAGGAAUAUAUCCGAAUCUACUUUUUCGUGGGGGAUAACGUAGGGAAACUUACGCCAAUAUAGCAUAUGACGUACGGGUGAAAGCAUGGGAUCUUCGGACCUUGUGGGGAUGAAUGAGCGGAUGAGGGAUUAGUUAGUUGGCGGGGUAAUGGCCCACCAAGGCGACGGUCCGCAGCCGGUCUGAGAGGAUGGUAGGCCACAUGGGAACGGGGACACGGUCCAUGCUCCUGAGGGACGGAGCAGUGGGGAAUAUUGGACAACGGGCGGGAGCCUGACCCAGCCAUACCGCGUGGGUGACGAAGGCCUUCGGGUUGUAAAGCCCUUUUGUGGGUAAAGAACAGCAGCAGGUUAAUACCCCGCGGGUGUGACGGUACCGAAAGAAUAAGCACCGGCUAACUUCGUG
RNAcentral lists this ribosomal RNA (492 nucleotides) under uncultured bacterium. RNAcentral's name for it is "partial 16S ribosomal RNA". It matches the Rfam family "Bacterial small subunit ribosomal RNA", at positions 29 to 507 of the family's 1533-position model. The record is from RNAcentral.